This 1392-nucleotide ribosomal RNA is filed under the name uncultured bacterium. Its description in RNAcentral is "16S ribosomal RNA". It matches the Rfam family "Bacterial small subunit ribosomal RNA". The record is from RNAcentral.
CAGAUUGAACGCUGGCGGCAUGGCUAAAACAUGCAAGUCGAACGACUAGCAAUAGAAGUGGCGAAAGGGCGAGGAAUAGAUUCCCACGUACCCCGAGGCCAGGGAUACCUCAGAGAAAUCUGAGACAAUACCUGAUGACAUCGGAAACGAUCAAAGGUUUACCACCUUGGGAGCGGGGAAUCUCCUAUCAGCUAGUUGGUGAGGUAAUGGCUCACCAAGGCGAAGACGGGUAGCGGGUGUGAGAGCACGGCCCGCCGCAUCGAGACUGAGACACUGCUCGGACUCCUACGGGAGGCUGCAGUAACGAAUCUUCCGCAAUGCACGAAAGUGUGACGGGGCAAUGCCGCGUGUGGGAUGAAGCCCUUCGGGGUGUAAACUACUGUCAGGGACUACCAACAACAUGAGGAGUCCCAAAGGAAGAGCCGGCUAACUCUGUGCCAGCAGCCGCGGUAAUACAGAGGGCUCGAGCGUUAAUCGGAAUCACUGGGCUUAAAGCGUGCGUAGGCGGAUUUGAAGGCGCUUUGUGAAAUCCCUCGGCUCAACCGAGGAACUGCUUGGCGAACCACAAAUCUUGAGGCUGGUAGAGGUGGUCGGAACAAUAGGUGGAGCGGUGAAAUGCGUAGAUAUCUAUUGGAACACCGAAGGUGAAGACGGCCCACUGGGCCAGUCCUGACGNUGAGGCACGAAAGCGUGGGUAGCAAACGGGAUUAGAUACCCCGGUAGUCCACGCCGUAAACGAUGCGCACUUGGUCGAGGGGGUUGAACGCCUUCUCGNCCGUAGGAAAACUGAUUAGUGCGCCGCCUGGGGAGUACGGUCGCAAGAUUAAAACUCAAAGGAAUUGACGGGGGCUCACACAAGCGGUGGAGCAUGUGGCUUAAUUCGAAGCAACGCGAAGAACCUUAUCCUAGGCUUGACAUGCACGUUAACUUGAAAGGGAGAACACUCGAGUGGGGCACAGGUGCUGCAUGGCUGUCGUCAGCUCGUGCUGUGAAGUGUCGGGUUAAGUCCCUCAGCGAGCGCAACCCCUGUCACUAGUUGCAAACAGGUAAUGCUGUGGACUCUAGUGAGACUGCCGGUGUCAAACCGGAGGAAGGUGGGGAUGACGUCAAGUCCUCAUGGCCCUUAUGCCUAGGGCUGCACACGUGCUACAAUGGCACCGACAGAACGAUCCGAGACCGCAAGGUGGAGGAAAUCGCUCAAAAGGUGCCCCAGUUCGGAUUGGAGGCUGCAACUCGCCUCCAUGAAGUUGGAAUCGCUAGUAAUCGCGGAUCAGCUACGCCGCGGUGAAUAUGUUCCUGAGCCUUGUACACACCGCCCGUCAAGUCAUGGAAGCCGGUAGCGCCCGAAGUCGCCUCAUUUCAGGGGUGCCCACGGCGAGGCUGGUGACUGGG